AGCCGGCGACACCUUCGCUGAGUUUCUGAUCUAUCAUGCUGACGACGGUUGGUGCUAUGCCAACCGUGGCGUUAACGGAUAACAGAGAAUCUGGGUUCGAUUCUGGAGAGGCCGCAUGAGAAACGGCGACCACUUCCAAGGAAGGCAGCAGGCACGCAAAUUACCCACUUCGGACACCGAGAGGUAGUGACGAACAAUACCGAUGCGGCGCACAUACGUGUCGCCGUAAUCGGAAUGAGUACACUUCAAAUCCUUUAACGAGGAUCCACUGGAGGGCAAGCCUGGUGCCAGCAGCCGCGGUAAUUCCAGCUCCAGCAGCGUAUAUUUAUAUUGCUGCGUUUAAAAAGCUCGUAGUUGAAGCGUCAGACGCGGAAGGGCGGACGGCCGCACUGGUCGCUCUCGCCCGACCGAGCCAGGCGCAGAGGGCGCGCGUCGCUUGCACUUUACCGUGUGAGCGCGCCGCCGCUGCACGUUCACCUUGAAGAAAUUGAACCGCUUAGAGGGGGCGAACAGCUUGUACAGCUCAGCAUGGUAUGAUGGAACAUGGGCUCGUACUCAUUUUGUUGGUUAGAGAGUCGGCGAGCCAAUGAUUAACAGGGACUGCCGGGGGCAUUCGUACUCGGACGGGAGAGGUGAAAUUCAAGGAUCGUCCGAAGACGCCCUACUGCGAAAGCAUUUGCCAAGAAUGUUUUCAUUAAUCAAGAACGAAAGUCAGAGGUGCAAAGGCGAUCAGAUACCGCCGUAGUUCUGACCGUAAACGUUGCCAACUGGCAAUUGGGCGCACUUCUGUCGAAGUUGCCGCCAGCAGUAUUGCCCGGGAAACCAAAGUCAUUGGGUUCCGGGGGGAGUAUGGUUGCAAAGCUGAAACUUAAAGGAAUUGACGGAAGGGCACCACCAGGAGUGGAGCCUGCGGCUUAAUUUGACUCAACACGGGAAACCUCACCCGGCCCGAACACUGUUAUGACAGACAGGUUGAGAGCUCUUUCUCGAUUCAGUGGUUGGUGGUGCAUGGCCGUUCUUAGUUCGUGGAGCGAUCUGUCUGGUUAAUUCCGAUAACGAACGAGACUCUUGCCUGCUAAAUAGACGGCGUCGACUCUUGUCGGCGACCGUUCGCUUCUUAGAGGGACAAGCGGCUUUUAGCCGCGUGAAGCCGAGAGCAAUAACAGGUCAGUGAUGCCCUCAGAUGUUCGGGGCCGCACGCGCGCUACACUGUUUGCAUCAGCGUGUUUCUCCCGCGCCGGCUGGCGCGGGCAACCCGUUGAACCGCAAACGUGCUAGGGAUCGGAGAUUGCAAUUGUUCUCCGUGAACGAGGAAUUCCUUGUACUGGCGAGUCAUCAGCUCGCGGGGAAUCUGUCCCUGCCCUUUGUACACACCGCCCGUCGCUACUACCGAUUGAGUGGUUUAGUGAGGCUCACGGACUGCGCGCGGCACACGG
RNAcentral lists this ribosomal RNA (1436 nucleotides) under Valdemunitella cf. fraudatrix RJO-2020. Its description in RNAcentral is "SSU rRNA". It matches the Rfam family "Eukaryotic small subunit ribosomal RNA", at positions 282 to 1731 of the family's 1831-position model. Lineage: Eukaryota; Metazoa; Bryozoa; Gymnolaemata; Cheilostomatida; Calloporidae. The record is from RNAcentral.